RNAcentral lists this unclassified non-coding RNA (331 nucleotides) under soil metagenome. RNAcentral's name for it is "partial contains 5.8S ribosomal RNA, internal transcribed spacer 2, and large subunit ribosomal RNA". The stretch from base 1 to 120 matches the Rfam family "5.8S ribosomal RNA", at positions 35 to 154 of the family's 154-position model. The record is from RNAcentral.
GAUGAAGAACGUAGCGAAAUGCGAUAAGUAAUGAGAAUUGCAGAAUUCAGUGAAUCAUCGAAUCUUUGAACGCACAUUGCGCCCCCUGGUAUUCCGGGGGGCAUGCCUGUUCGAGCGUCAUUUCACCACUCAAGCCUCGCUUGGUAUUGGGCAACGCGGUCCGCCGCGUGCCUCAAAUCGACCGGCUGGGUCUUCUGUCCCCUAAGCGUUGUGGAAACUAUUCGCUAAAGGGUGCUCGGGAGGCUACGCCAUAAAACAAACCCAUUUCUAAGGUUGACCUCGGAUCAGGUAGGGAUACCCGCUGAACUUAAGCAUAUCAAUAAGCGGAGGA